Long non-coding RNA from Prosopis cineraria, 366 nucleotides. RefSeq lists it as uncharacterized. Lineage: Eukaryota; Viridiplantae; Streptophyta; Magnoliopsida; Fabales; Fabaceae. The transcript has 3 exons. The record is from RefSeq and is a predicted model, not a curated record.
AAACCCUACCUUGAAGAAGGUGCAGCAUGUCGAGUCCUUCAGGCGACACUCCUCAGACUCCAAGUCCUAAUAUCAAGAAUCCCACACCACUCCCAACAAGCAAGGGUCUCUUUUCCUCCCGUCACCAUAGUGACUCUAAUAACCCUCCAACAUCUACUGGGACUACAAUUAUUACCACUCGGGGUACCUUUUCCACGAGUCGUUGAUCAUGAUUCAUUCCAUAUCUUUAUCAGAUUGUGAUGAACCUCGGUGCCCUUGGUAUUGGAAUAAAGGAAGAAUUAAAUAAAACUUAGUUGUUCAUUUUCUUUGUUCGUUUUGUUGGGUCCAUAUAUCUAGGACAAAUGUAUUCUGGUCUGUUAGUUUACC